CAUAGCGACUAUCGUGGCAUAUCAAUAAGCGGAGGAAAAGAAACUAACAAGGAUUCCCCUAGUAACGGCGAGUGAAGCGGGAAGAGCUCAAAUUUGAAAUCUUCAAGGUUUGACCUUGACGAAUUGUAGUUUAAAGAAGUGUUUUCUGUUGAAGUUUUGGUAAAAGUUCUUUGGAAUAGGACACCAUAGAGGGUGAGAAUCCCGUAUUUGACCAUUAUUUUCAGCUGUGUGAUACACUUUCAAAGAGUCGGAUUGCUUGGGAAUGCAGUCCAAAGAUGGGUGGUAAAUUUCAUCUAAAGCUAAAUAUUGGCGAGAGACCGAUAGCGAACAAGUACCGUGAGGGAAAGAUGAAAAGAACUUUGAAAAGAGAGUUAAACAGUACGUGAAAUUGUCAAAAGGGAAGCGUUUGACACCAGUGUUGUUUAGUUGAAAAUCAAUUAAAUAUUUUUCGAUUUUAAGUAGUAUUGACCUUAUCAGCUUGCCGCUUUUUUCUCGGAAAUUAUUUAAUGCACUUUUCAGUUAACAAGUCAACAUCAAUUUCUUUUGUUGUAAAAAGGUAAGAGGAAGGUGGCUUGCGCUUCGGCUCAAGUGUUUAUAGCCUUUUACCCCUGCAAUCGGAGAGAUUGAGGUCUGCAGCGUAGAUCCUUCGGGGUUAGAUACAUUUGUGCUAAGCUAUAGCCUUGUAUAGACAACUUGUUGACUAUGCUCAGUCAUGUAGCUUACUCGCUUAUGCUAUUUUACCUACGCUUAGGAUGUUGAUAGUCACAGCGUGUAC
RNAcentral lists this ribosomal RNA (775 nucleotides) under uncultured Neocallimastigales. RNAcentral's name for it is "partial large subunit ribosomal RNA". It matches the Rfam family "Eukaryotic large subunit ribosomal RNA", at positions 22 to 643 of the family's 3401-position model. The record is from RNAcentral. Lineage: Eukaryota; Fungi; Neocallimastigomycota; Neocallimastigomycetes; Neocallimastigales.